AGGAUUCUAAGUUAUUUAAACUUGUAGCCUUCAAAGCUUCAUAAAAAAGUAAAAUCUUUUGUAUCCUA
RNAcentral lists this transfer RNA (68 nucleotides) under Calappa bilineata. Its description in RNAcentral is "tRNA-Trp". The record is from RNAcentral. Lineage: Eukaryota; Metazoa; Arthropoda; Malacostraca; Decapoda; Calappidae.